GCCGGGGUGGUGGAAUGGUAGACACGAUAGACUCAAAAUCUAUUGAUCGCAAGGUCAUGAGGGUUCAAGUCCCUCCCCCGGCA
Molecule: transfer RNA, 83 nt
Filed under: Patescibacteria group bacterium
Lineage: Bacteria
Description: tRNA-Leu
Rfam family: tRNA
About the family: Transfer RNA (tRNA) molecules are approximately 80 nucleotides in length. Their secondary structure includes four short double-helical elements and three loops (D, anti-codon, and T loops).
Source: RNAcentral